CCUACGGGUGGCUGCAGUAGGGAAUCUUCGGCAAUGGGGGGAACCCUGACCGAGCAACGCCGCGUGAGUGAAGAAGGUUUUCGGAUCGUAAAGCUCUGUUGUUAGAGAAGAACGAGUGUGAACGUGGAAAGUUCACACUGUGACGGUAUCUUACCAGAAAGGGACGGCUAACUACGUUCCCACAGCCGCGGUAAAACGUAGGUCCCGAGCGUUAUCCGGAUUUAUUGGGCGUAAGGCGAGCGCAGGCGGUUAGUUAAUGCGGAAGUUAAAGGCGGUGAGUUAACCAGAGUACGCUUUGGAAACUGUUUAACUUGAGUGCAGAAGGGGAGAGUGGAAUUCCAGGUGUAGCGGUGAAAUGCGUAGAUAUAUGGAGGAACACCGGUGGCGAAAGCGACUCUCUGGUCUGUAACUGACGCUGAGGCUCGAAAGCGUGGGGAGCAAACAGGAUUAGAUACCCGGGUAGUC
RNAcentral lists this ribosomal RNA (465 nucleotides) under uncultured Streptococcus sp. RNAcentral describes it as "bacterial SSU rRNA". It matches the Rfam family "Bacterial small subunit ribosomal RNA", at positions 338 to 795 of the family's 1533-position model. Lineage: Bacteria; Bacillati; Bacillota; Bacilli; Lactobacillales; Streptococcaceae. The record is from RNAcentral.